RNAcentral lists this ribosomal RNA (253 nucleotides) under uncultured bacterium. RNAcentral's name for it is "partial 16S ribosomal RNA". It matches the Rfam family "Bacterial small subunit ribosomal RNA", at positions 524 to 776 of the family's 1533-position model. The record is from RNAcentral.
UACGAAGGGGGCUAGCGUUGUUCGGAAUUACUGGGCGUAAAGGGCGCGUAGGCGGUUUGUCAAGUCAGGCGUGAAAGCCCCGGGCUCAACCUGGGAACUGCGCUUGAGACUGGCAGGCUCGAGUUCGGGAGAGGAUGGUGGAAUUCCCAGUGUAGAGGUGAAAUUCGUAGAUAUUCGGAGGAACACCAGUGGCGAAGGCGGCUCUCUGGCUCGGUACUGACGCUGAGGUGCGAAAGCGUGGGGAGCAAACAGG